GCGCCCAUAGCUCAGCUGGAUAGAGCACUGGUCUACGGAACCAGUUGUCGGAAGUUCGAAUCUUCCUGGGCGCGCCA
This 77-nucleotide transfer RNA is filed under the name Polyangiaceae bacterium. RNAcentral describes it as "tRNA-Arg". It matches the Rfam family "tRNA". From Rfam's summary of the family: Transfer RNA (tRNA) molecules are approximately 80 nucleotides in length. Their secondary structure includes four short double-helical elements and three loops (D, anti-codon, and T loops). The record is from RNAcentral. Lineage: Bacteria; Pseudomonadati; Myxococcota; Polyangiales; Polyangiaceae. RNAcentral also lists the same sequence under 8 other names.